This 274-nucleotide ribosomal RNA is filed under the name uncultured bacterium. Its description in RNAcentral is "partial 16S ribosomal RNA". It matches the Rfam family "Bacterial small subunit ribosomal RNA", at positions 523 to 796 of the family's 1533-position model. The record is from RNAcentral.
AUACGGGGGGUGCAAGCGUUAAUCGGAAUUACUGGGCGUAAAGCGCGCGUAGGCGGUUUGUUCAGUCGGAUGUGAAAGCCCAGGGCUCAACCUUGGAACUGCAUUCGAUACUGGCAAACUAGAAUGUAAUAGAGGAUAGUGGAAUUUCCGGUGUAGCGGUGAAAUGCGUAGAGAUCGGAAGGAACAUCAGUGGCGAAGGCGGCUAUCUGGAUCAACAUUGACGCUGAGGUGCGAAAGCGUGGGUAGCAAACAGGAUUAGAUACCCUAGUAGUCC